GAACCUGCGGAAGGAUCAUUACUGAGAGGGGUUUUCGGACCCCGGGGGCCCCGGCCCCCAUCUCUUCACCCUAUGUUUACGUACCUUCGUUGCUUUGGCGGGUCUUAGGGCUCGCCCCAUACCGGCUACGAGCCUAGUGCUCCGGUCGGCCCGUGCUCGCCAGAGGCCCAUCAAAUUCUGUUCACCAGUGACGUCCGAGCAAAAACACAAUAGUAAAAAACUUUCAACAACGGAUCUCUUGGUUCUGGCAUCGAUGAAGAACGCAGCGAAAUGCGAUAAGUAAUGUGAAUUGCAGAAUUCAGUGAAUCAUCGAAUCUUUGAACGCACAUUGCGCCCCUCGGUAUUCCGGGGGGCAUGCCUGUUCGAGCGUCAUUGCACCCCUCAAGCUCAGCUUGGUAUUGGGUCUUCGCCCCCACGGCGGGCCCGAAAGUCAGUGGCGGUCCGGCGUGACUUCGAGCGUAGUAAAUCUUCUCCCGCUUUGGAAGCUCGCGCUGCGGCCGGCCAUCAACGCCCAAAUCUUUCAAUGAUUGACCUCGGAUCAGGUAGGGAUACCCGCUGAACUUAA
RNAcentral lists this ribosomal RNA (565 nucleotides) under Rhizoplaca parilis. RNAcentral's name for it is "eukaryotic LSU rRNA". The stretch from base 219 to 372 matches the Rfam family "5.8S ribosomal RNA". Lineage: Eukaryota; Fungi; Ascomycota; Lecanoromycetes; Lecanorales; Lecanoraceae. The record is from RNAcentral.